GGUUGAUCCUGCCAGUAGUCAUAUGCUUGUCCCAAAGAUUAAGCCAUGCAUGUCUAAGUAUAAACACGUUGUACUGUGAAACUGCGAAUGGCUCAUUAUAUCAGUUAUAAUUUACUUGAUAGUCUCUUACUACUUGGAUAACCGUGGUAAUUCUAGAGCUAAUACAUGCAAAAAGUCCAACUCACGAAGGACUGUAUUUAUUAGAUUAAAAACCAACUUGCUUGGUGAUUCAUAAUAACUGUGCGGAUCGCACGGCCUUGCGCCGGCGACAUUUCAUUCAAAUUUCUGCCCU
RNAcentral lists this ribosomal RNA (292 nucleotides) under uncultured eukaryote. Its description in RNAcentral is "partial 18S ribosomal RNA". It matches the Rfam family "Eukaryotic small subunit ribosomal RNA", at positions 6 to 313 of the family's 1831-position model. The record is from RNAcentral.